This 84-nucleotide microRNA precursor is filed under the name Bombyx mori (domestic silkworm). RNAcentral describes it as "mir-2807 microRNA precursor family". It matches the Rfam family "mir-2807 microRNA precursor family". The record is from Rfam by way of RNAcentral. Lineage: Eukaryota; Metazoa; Arthropoda; Insecta; Lepidoptera; Bombycidae.
UUAACUCUGAUUUGUAUGGGGUUGGAUCGUUUGCCUACGUUUGCCGCUAGGGGCGCUGUUCCAACUGCAUACAAAAUUGACUUA